UGUGUGCUGAGUCAAUGAAUAACUGGGUACGUGCUAUUCUAUACUGACUUCUGUUGAGUUCUAAUGUACAACACCCCCUUACCCCAUUCAGAGGCUAGAGCACAGUCUUCCCCAACAGACAAAAAUGCAGCAUUUGCGAGAGAUUCAGUGCCUAAGAUAAGGGACUUGUCACCUGGUCACGUCAGCAACUCACCACCAUGCCCAAAUAAUACAGUUUAUUUUCUGUAGAUAGGGGAUCUCCCUAUGUUGCCCAAGAGGUGCCAGGCACACAGCUGAUUCAGUUUCAAUGUUAAUUCAUUUUAUUUUUCCUCCCCACUUUGCCUUCUGCUCAUCCUGCAGCCCACAUUCCCGUCAUUUUCAAACGUACAGAAGUGAAAACUGUGUUGUCACUA
Molecule: long non-coding RNA, 392 nt
Filed under: Homo sapiens (human)
Lineage: Eukaryota; Metazoa; Chordata; Mammalia; Primates; Hominidae
Description: non-protein coding lnc-LRGUK-5:1
Source: RNAcentral